GAUCACCCCUCUUAGAGCACUUCUGCAAGCCCAGGACAUGGAGGUCAACUUAGAGCGGGAAAUCAUCAUCUGUUAGAAAGGCAGCAGAAAGAUACACAAAACAAGUGAAUGCUACUGCAGAUCUCCCUACUCUUCUGGUGUGUCCUGUCAAACUUCCAAAACAACUACAACUGUGUAUGCUGGACAGAGAAAAUAUGGUUAAAAAGAACUUACCCACUCUUCUGUCCUAACACGUUUGGGUUUCUUGGCCAAGCAUGAAGCCAAUUCCAGAAGAAAAGACUGUUCCUCCAGCCUGAAGGCACCUCUAUCUGUGCAUUUUAGAAGGGUUCUUCUGGACCUAUGACUGCUGCAGUAAAGGAAGAGAAUGGGAUUUUUAGCUUUCCAGAAUGUAACCAACAUAUAGAGCUCUGCAAUUCAGAGUCAAUACCUAAAGUGAUGCUAUAAGCAAUAAAUUGCGAGUAUUUCUAGAGAGCAGCAGGUUUCUGGAAGC
Molecule: long non-coding RNA, 490 nt
Filed under: Gallus gallus (chicken)
Lineage: Eukaryota; Metazoa; Chordata; Aves; Galliformes; Phasianidae
Description: lncRNA (ENSGALG00010000503.1)
Source: RNAcentral